UUGAGACCCCUGGUCUAGGGGUAUGAUUCUCGCUUUGGGUGCAAGAGGUUCUGGGUUCAAAUCCUGGAUUAAA
Molecule: non-coding RNA, 73 nt
Organism: Danionella cerebrum
Lineage: Eukaryota; Metazoa; Chordata; Actinopteri; Cypriniformes; Danionidae
Source: the annotation of a GenBank genome assembly